RNAcentral lists this long non-coding RNA (1020 nucleotides) under Ananas comosus (pineapple). RNAcentral describes it as "long non-coding RNA (ACOM_LNC008510)". The record is from RNAcentral. Lineage: Eukaryota; Viridiplantae; Streptophyta; Magnoliopsida; Poales; Bromeliaceae.
UUAUUUUGAACUUUUUUGUGAACAUAUUAUUUUUUAAAAAAUUAUGUUACUAUACUAUCAAUAAUACCAAUUUUUUGGUACUAUCGAGUUUUCAGCUGUUGAAUGAAAGGAUGUACUGUUAGGAUAAUAGUGGUCCUUUAGGGUUGAGUAAGUGGCUGGCUGAAUAGUAUAAUCUAACGAGUGAAAAUGAUUAAAAAAAAUAGAUUUUACGAUAGAAAAAUUGAUAAUAGCAAGAACUUGAUAUUAUUAAUAGUAUAGUAGCCGGACUUAUUUUUUUAGAGAUAUUUUCUUAAAAAAAUACAUCUUAUACGUCGCAUUUUUACAACUUCGUUGUAAAAUUUUAAAUUCUAUAAAUUUUUAUAUAUAAACUUUUUAUAUAGUAUAGAUUGUAUCUAGCAAAGUAGAUUUUAUAAUUUUAUAAUAUUAAAUUUUAAAAAAUAAUUUAGUAUAUGUAAUGUACCAAUAGACUAAGUGCUGAUAAUAAUUUAUUAUAGUUGAGAAGAAAAGAUAAAGUGGUGACUGAAAAAUAUUUUGUACCAUUGGAGUGUAAAAUUAAAUUUUGUAGUCUACAUUUCUAAAAUAUUAUUAUAAAAAUUUAAACUAUGUAAUGUUUUAUCCAUAACUUUUUAUAUAAUUUAUAUAGUAUAUAUUAAAUAAUAAAUUUUAAUUUUAUAAUAUUGAUUAGUUAAAAAUAUGUUGUAUAAUAAGGUACCGUUUGGUUUGGGUAUAAAGAAGAACUAGCUAUUACAGAAAUAGAUACAAGUAUGGGGAUAAAAAAAAUAGUAUUUGGAUGAAAAUUAGGUUAUUCCUGAGGAUAAGAAAAAUAGCGUUUGGAUAGAUAAUAUAGAAUAAGAAAAAUAGUAGGUAGUUAUAUAUAGAAAAUGAAAGUGUUGUUGGGAAUAGUUAUACCAGCUUAUUUCAGGUACCCAAGAACUACUAUUUUCGGAUAAAAAAUUAGCAUUCAUGGGUAUAAAGGGGAUAAGGAGUUAUUCCACCCCUUAUUCCCAAUCCAAACGGGGC